This 792-nucleotide ribosomal RNA is filed under the name uncultured Lake Michigan sediment bacterium LMBGA6-26. Its description in RNAcentral is "bacterial SSU rRNA". It matches the Rfam family "Bacterial small subunit ribosomal RNA", at positions 28 to 814 of the family's 1533-position model. Lineage: Bacteria; Pseudomonadati; Bacteroidota. The record is from RNAcentral.
AUUGAACGCUGGCGGCAUGCUUUACACAUGCAAGUCGAACGGUAACGCGGGGGCAACCCUGNNCGACGAGUGGCGAACGGGUGAGUAAUACAUCGGAACAUGUCCUGGAGUGGGGGAUAGCUCGGCGAAAGCNGGAUUAAUACCGCAUACGCUCUGAGGAGGAAAGCGGGGGACCGUAAGGCCUCGCGCUGCGGGAGUGGCCGAUGUCGGAUUAGCUAGUAGGUAGGGUAAAGGCCUACCUAGGCGACGAUCCGUAGCUGGUCUGAGAGGAUGAUCAGCCACACUGGGACUGAGACACGGCCCAGACUCCUACGGGAGGCAGCAGUGGGGAAUUUUGGACAAUGGGGGCAACCCUGAUCCAGCCAUGCCGCGUGAGUGAAGAAGGCCUUCGGGUUGUAAAGCUCUUUCGGACGGGACGAAAUGGUUACGGAUAAUAACUGUGACAGAUGACGGUACCGUAAUAAGAAGCACCGGCUAACUACGUGCCAGCAGCCGCGGUAAUACGUAGGGUGCGAGCGUUAUUCGGAAUUACUGGGCGUAAAGCGUGCGCAGGCGGUUCGCCAAGUCAGGUGUGAAAUCCCCGGGCUUAACCUGGGAAUUGCGCUUGAAACUAGCGGGCUUGAGUGUGGCAGAGGGGGGUGGAAUUCCACGUGUAGCAGUGAAAUGCGUAGAGAUGUGGAGGAACACCGAUGGCGAAGGCAGCCCCCUGGGUCAACACUGACGCUCAUGCACGAAAGCGUGGGGAGCAAACAGGNUUAGAUACCCUGGUAGUCCACGCCCUAAACGAUGUCG